AGAGUUUGAUCCUGGCUCAGAACGAACGCUGGCGGCAGGCUUAACACAUGCAAGUCGAACGAAGUCUUCGGACUUAGUGGCGCACGGGUGAGUGACGCGUGGGAACAUACCUUUUGGUGGGGGAUAACGUCGGGAAACUGACGCUAAUACCGCAUAAGCCCUUUGGGGGAAAGAUUUAUCGCCGAAAGAUUGGCCCGCGUCUGAUUAGCUAGUUGGUGGGGUAAAGGCUUACCAAGGCGACGAUCAGUAGCUGGUCUGAGAGGAUGACCAGCCACACUGGGACUGAGACACGGCCCAGACUCCUACGGGAGGCAGCAGUGGGGAAUAUUGGACAAUGGGCGCAAGCCUGAUCCAGCC
This 357-nucleotide ribosomal RNA is filed under the name uncultured bacterium. RNAcentral describes it as "bacterial SSU rRNA". It matches the Rfam family "Bacterial small subunit ribosomal RNA", at positions 8 to 393 of the family's 1533-position model. The record is from RNAcentral.